RNAcentral lists this ribosomal RNA (253 nucleotides) under uncultured bacterium. RNAcentral describes it as "partial 16S ribosomal RNA". It matches the Rfam family "Bacterial small subunit ribosomal RNA", at positions 524 to 776 of the family's 1533-position model. The record is from RNAcentral.
UACGGGGGGAGCAAACGUUGUUCGGAAUCGCUGGGCGUAAAGGGCGUGUAGGCGGCUGAAUAAGUGGGAUGUUAAAUCCCCCGGCUCAACCGGGGACCUGCAUCUCAUACUGUUCAGCUCGAGCACAUCAGAGGAGACUGGAAUUCCCUGUGUAGCGGUGAAAUGCGUAGAUAUCAGGAGGAACACCGGUGGCGAAGGCGGGUCUCUGGGCCGAGAUUGACGCUGAGGAGCGAAAGCGUGGGGAGCGAACAGG